Fukomys damarensis (Damara mole-rat) is the source of this 443-nucleotide long non-coding RNA. RefSeq lists it as uncharacterized. The transcript is spliced from 3 exons. The record is from RefSeq and is a predicted model, not a curated record. Lineage: Eukaryota; Metazoa; Chordata; Mammalia; Rodentia; Bathyergidae.
CUCUUUCUGAUUACCGGGGUCACUUUCCACACUCAUAGCUGUGCCUAAUAGAGCUUUGUCUUUGCUUCCAGCUGGAUGUGGCUGUAGAAUGCUGGCAUUGGGAUGGGAUUCGGGGACUGUGUGGCCUUUUGGUUCACGCAGCAGCAGUGGCCCAGCAUCGUGUGGUCAGCAGAGGACCUUAACUCCCCUGUGCUUGGCUCCGAGAUCGUACAAACCCUGACCUGCUGCAGAUGGACUUGGGGCACAGGCAGAAGGAAAACACUGAAAUGAGUGCUGUGGGCUCAGAACACGGAUCCAAAGCAGGGCGUGCUGGGACCAGGAUGUGGACAUCCCUCGCUUGAACAAGGCUUCACAAUACGCACACGGACAUCGGUGUUAGCGAGGCUGAUUUCUCUGCGAUCACGGAUAAAGCUGCACUUAACGCCCCCGACCUGUCCCAAAGG